CAAGUCGUGGGGCAGCAGGUUCCGAGCAAUCGGAAUGCUGGCGACCGGCAAACGGGUGCGGAACACGUACACAACCUUCCUUUUAGUGGAGAAUAGCCCAGGGAAACUUGGAUUAAUACUCCGUAACAUAUAGAAGUGGCAUCACUUUUAUAUUAAAGCAGCAAUGCGCUAGAAGAUGGGUGUGCGGCUGAUUAGAUAGUUGGCGGGGUAACGGCCCACCAAGUCGACGAUCAGUAACUGGUGUGAGAGCAUGACCAGUCACACGGGCACUGAGACACGGGCCCGACUCCUACGGGAGGCAGCAGUAAGGAAUAUUGGUCAAUGGACGCAAGUCUGAACCAGCCAUGCCGCGUGGAGGAUGAAGGUCCUCUGGGUUGUAAACUUCUUUUAUUUGGGAAGAAACCCAUCUUUUCUUGGAUGGCUGACGGUACCAGAUGAAUAAGCACCGGCUAACUCCGUGCCAGCAGCCGCGGUAAUACGGAGGGUGCAAGCGUUAUCCGGAUUCACUGGGUUUAAAGGGUGCGUAGGUGGGCAAGUAAGUCAGUGGUGAAAUCUCCGGGCUUAACCCGGAAACUGCCAUUGAUACUAUUUGUCUUGAAUACUGUGGAGGUCAGCGGAAUAUGUCAUGUAGCGGUGAAAUGCUUAGAUAUGACAUAGAACACCAAUUGCGAAGGCAGCUGGCUACACAAAUAUUGACACUGAGGCACGAAAGCGUGGGGAUCAAACAGGAUUAGAUACCCUGGUAGUCCACGCCCUAAACUAUGGAUACUCGACAUUUGCGAUAAACUGCAAGUGUCUGAGCGAAAGCAUUAAGUAUCC
RNAcentral lists this ribosomal RNA (819 nucleotides) under uncultured Sphingobacteriales bacterium. RNAcentral's name for it is "bacterial SSU rRNA". It matches the Rfam family "Bacterial small subunit ribosomal RNA", at positions 58 to 869 of the family's 1533-position model. Lineage: Bacteria; Pseudomonadati; Bacteroidota; Sphingobacteriia; Sphingobacteriales. The record is from RNAcentral.